CAGCCGCCGCGGUAAUACGUAGGUGGCAAGCGUUGUCCGGAAUUAUUGGGCGUAAAGGGUGCGUAGGCGGACUGAUAAGUCAGGGGUGAAAUCCCAAGGCUCAACCUUGGAACUGCCUUUGAUACUGUUAGUCUUGAGUUCGAGAGAGGUGUGUGGAACUGCGAGUGUAGAGGUGAAAUUCGUAAAUAUUCGCAAGAACACCAGUGGCGAAGGCGGCUCACUGGCUCGAAACUGACGCUGAGGCACGAAAGCGUGGGGAGCAAACAGGAUUAGAUACCCCUGUAGUCCCUGUCUCUUAUAC
This 301-nucleotide ribosomal RNA is filed under the name uncultured bacterium. Its description in RNAcentral is "partial 16S ribosomal RNA". It matches the Rfam family "Bacterial small subunit ribosomal RNA", at positions 509 to 807 of the family's 1533-position model. The record is from RNAcentral.